RNAcentral lists this ribosomal RNA (119 nucleotides) under Cicer arietinum (chickpea). The record is from RNAcentral. Lineage: Eukaryota; Viridiplantae; Streptophyta; Magnoliopsida; Fabales; Fabaceae.
AGGUGCGAUCACACUAGAGCUAAUUCUUCGAAUCCCAUUAGAACUCCGCAGUUAAGCGUGCUUGUGCGAUAGUAGUACUAGGAUGGGUGACCUCUUGGGAAUUCCUCGUUUUCCAUCUU